RNAcentral lists this long non-coding RNA (402 nucleotides) under Bos indicus x Bos taurus (hybrid cattle). Its description in RNAcentral is "lncRNA (ENSBIXG00005004107.1)". Lineage: Eukaryota; Metazoa; Chordata; Mammalia; Artiodactyla; Bovidae. The record is from RNAcentral.
GCAGAGCUCACCUGACGAGUGGGAGUGUUGUUCUCCCACCAAGAAAGGGUCUUUCCUUGGAGACCAAGGGAAGCCUCAACUGCCAGAAAACUGGUCUCCUGGAUCCUAAAGGUGACCUUCUUCCACGUCUGCCAGACCUUUCCCAUUGAGGUCAGAGGGAAGAUAAGACAACUGUGGCCUGCUGGCCUUUCCUUCCCAUCAGUGAUGUGCUGGAACCCAGGAGUAACUGGCUUAAAUUUCAUUAGCCUGAAUGGAAGGAAGAUAAAGUGGCUGUUGAGUUAACAGAUGGACAAGUUGGAAAGAAAGGACGUAUUGCUGAUCUCAUCUUCUGCUCAGGUAUGUUGUUAAUUGCGGAGACAACCUGAUCUUUGUUGAGAACCAGGUCUUUCAACCUGGGUACAC